CAUGUUGGGGACUUAUUUGGUGCCACAUUUUUGGGGCCACAUUGCUGGGGACUUAUUUGGUGCCCCCCAAUUGUCGCCUCCCCUCUUGGUAUCACCUGUUGGUGACUUAUUUGCUGCCCCCCUGUUGGUGCCACCCUGCUGGUGACACAUUUGGUGCCCCCCUAUUCGUAUCACCCUGUUGGUGACACAUUUGGUGCCCCCUUAUUGGUGUCACAUUCUUGGUGACUUAUUUGAUGCCCCUCUGUUGGUGCCACAUUGCUGGGGACAUAUUUGGUGCCCCUCUUUUGGUAUCACCCUGUUGGUGACACAUUUGGUGCCCCCCACCCCAUUGGAGCCACAUUGUUGGUGACUUAUUUGGUGCCCCUCUGUUGGUGCCACAUUGCUGGGGACUUAUUUGGUGCCACCCUCCUGGUAUCACUGUGUUGGUGACUUAUUUGGUGCCACAUUUUUGGGGUCACAUUGCUGGGGACUUAUUUGAUGCCCCCCUGUUGUCGCCCUCCCCUCUUGGUAUCACCCUGUUGGUGACACAUUUGGUGCCCCCCUGUAGGUGUCACAUUCUUGGUGACUUAUUUGGUGCCACCCUAUUGGUGCCACAUUGCUGGGGACUUAUUUGGUGCCCCCAUGUUGGUACCGCCCUGUUGGUGACUUAUUUGGUGCCACAUUUUUGGGGUCACAUUGCUGGGGACUUAUUUGAUGCCCCCCUGUUGUCGCCCCCCCUCUUGGUAUCACCCUGUUGGUGACAUAUUUGGUGCCCCCCACCCCGUUGGAACCACAUUGCUGGGGACUUAUUUGGUGCCCCCCCUCCUGGUAUCAACCUGUUGGUGACUUAUUUGGUGCCCCCCUGUUGGUGCCACAUGGCUGGGGACACAUUUGGUGCCACAUUUUUGGUGCCACAUUGCUGGGGACAUAUUUGGUGCCCCUCUUUUGGUAUCACCCCGUUGGUGACAUAUUUGCUGCCCCCCCCGCCCCCGUUGGUGCCUCAUUGCUGGGGACUUAUUUGGCGCCCCUCUGUUGGUGCCACAUUCCUGGUGACUUAUUUGGUGCUGCUGUCAACCACCACAUCCGCCCCAUUUGGGGACGAUGCAGCCGGGUGACAUUCCUGGUGACAUUCCUGGUGACAUUCCUGGUGCCAUUCCUGGUGCCUGCCAUUUCCGGCGCCAUUUCCGGCGCCAUUUCCGGUGCCGUUCCUGGGUGUCGCUCCCAGCUGUGCCAUCAGAGCCCAAUGGGGCUGAAUGGGGGCCCCCUAUGGGACCGGGUUUUUUUUUUGGGGGGGGUGGGGGACCCCUUG
RNAcentral lists this long non-coding RNA (1288 nucleotides) under Phasianus colchicus (ring-necked pheasant). RNAcentral describes it as "lncRNA (ENSPCLG00000022366.1)". Lineage: Eukaryota; Metazoa; Chordata; Aves; Galliformes; Phasianidae. The record is from RNAcentral.